This 262-nucleotide ribosomal RNA is filed under the name uncultured bacterium. Its description in RNAcentral is "partial 16S ribosomal RNA". It matches the Rfam family "Bacterial small subunit ribosomal RNA", at positions 95 to 353 of the family's 1533-position model. The record is from RNAcentral.
GUGGCGGACGGGUGAGUAACGCGUGGGUAACCUGCCUUGUACUGGGGGACAACAGUUGGAAACGACUGCUAAUACCGCAUAAGCCCACGGAUCCGCAUGGAUCUGCGGGAAAAGGAUUUAUUCGCUUCAGGAUGGACUCGCGUCCAAUUAGCUAGUUGGUGAGGUAACGGCCCACCAAGGCGACGAUUGGUAGCCGGACUGAGAGGUUGAACGGCCACAUUGGGACUGAGACACGGCCCAGACUCCUACGGGAGGCAGCAUG